GAUGAACGCUGGCGGCGUGCCUAAUACAUGCAAGUCGAGCGAACGGACGAGAAGCUUGCCUCUCUGAUGUUAGCGGCGGACGGGUGAGUAACACGUGGAUAACCUACCUAUAAGACUGGGAUAACUUCGGGAAACCGGAGCUAAUACAGGAUAAUAUUUUGAACCGCAUGGUUCAAAAGUGAAAGACGGUCUUGCUGUCACUUAUAGAUGGAUCCGCGCUGCAUUAGCUAGUUGGUAAGGUAACGGCUUACCAAGGCAACGAUGCAUAGCCGACCUGAGAGGGUGAUCGGCCACACUGGAACUGAGACACGGUCCAGACUCCUACGGGAGGCAGCAGUAGGGAAUCUUCCGCAAUGGGCGAAAGCCUGACGGAGCAACGCCGCGUGAGUGAUGAAGGUCUUCGGAUCGUAAAACUCUGUUAUUAGGGAAGAACAUAUGUGUAAGUAACUGUGCACAUCUUGACGGUACCUAAUCAGAAAGCCACGGCUAACUACGUG
RNAcentral lists this ribosomal RNA (497 nucleotides) under uncultured bacterium. RNAcentral describes it as "partial 16S ribosomal RNA". It matches the Rfam family "Bacterial small subunit ribosomal RNA", at positions 28 to 507 of the family's 1533-position model. The record is from RNAcentral.